RNAcentral lists this unclassified non-coding RNA (255 nucleotides) under Hevea brasiliensis (rubber tree). Lineage: Eukaryota; Viridiplantae; Streptophyta; Magnoliopsida; Malpighiales; Euphorbiaceae. The record is from RNAcentral.
CUGGAUUGCUCAGUUUCCCUUCUAAACCAUUAGCAUCAUGAACAGAAUUACUGAUUAACUGAAAAGAAACUCUUCUGCCAAGGAAUUCAAGAGCACCAUCGACAAUUGAGGCAGUUACAUCAGUAAAAUCCAAAACAUUUUUUUUCAUUAACACAACUGUUCCUUUCACUUUUUCCCCAUCAUCUUUUCCAGUAAUGGAAUCCACAAUUUUGUUCAAAAUCAUUUUGAUAACUUUCUUAGCAAACAAGAAAAAAG